AUUAUCAGUCAUGCAUAGCAUAUCAAUAAGCGGAGGAAAAGAAACUAACAAGGAUUCCCUUAGUAACGGCGAGUGAAGCGGGAAGAGCUCAAAUUUGAAAUCUUCAAGGUUUUACCUUGACGAAUUGUAGUUUAAAGAAGUGUUUUCUGUUGAAGUUUUGGUAAAAGUUCUUUGGAAUAGGACAUCAUAGAGGGUGAGAAUCCCGUAUUUGGCCAUUACUUUCAGCUUUGUGAUACACUUUCAAAGAGUCGGAUUGUUUGGGAAUGCAGUCCAAAAUGGGUGGUAAAUUUCAUCUAAAGCUAAAUAUUGGCGAGAGACCGAUAGCGAACAAGUACCGUGAGGGAAAGAUGAAAAGAACUUUGAAAAGAGAGUUAAACAGUACGUGAAAUUGUCAAAAGGGAAGCGUUUGACACCAGUGUUGUUUUCUCGAAAAUCAAUUAAAAAGAGUUGGAUUUUGUGUUGUAUUGACUUUAUCAGCUUUCUUCACCUCUUUUCCAGCUUUUUUUAAUGCACUUUUCGUUUAACAAGUCAACAUCAGUUUCUUUUGUUGUAAAAAGGUCAUUGGAAGGUGGCUUUCUCUUCGGAGAAAGUGUUUAUAGCCUUUGACUCAUGCAAUCGGAGAGACUGAGGUCUGCAGCGUAGAUCCUUCGGGGUUAGAUACAUUUGUGCUAAGUUAUAGCUUUUCAUAGACAACUUGUUGACUAUGUUUAGUCUUGUAGCUUACUCGCUUAUGCUAUUUUACCUACGCUUAGGAUGUUGAACUCUAUCACACACAG
RNAcentral lists this ribosomal RNA (776 nucleotides) under uncultured Neocallimastigales. Its description in RNAcentral is "partial large subunit ribosomal RNA". It matches the Rfam family "Eukaryotic large subunit ribosomal RNA", at positions 20 to 621 of the family's 3401-position model. Lineage: Eukaryota; Fungi; Neocallimastigomycota; Neocallimastigomycetes; Neocallimastigales. The record is from RNAcentral.